Molecule: ribosomal RNA, 468 nt
Filed under: uncultured bacterium
Lineage: Bacteria
Description: partial 16S ribosomal RNA
Rfam family: Bacterial small subunit ribosomal RNA
Source: RNAcentral
GACGAACGCUGGCGGCGUGCUUAACACAUGCAAGUCGAACGGAAAGGCCCUGCUUUUGUGGGGUGCUCGAGUGGCGAACGGGUGAGUAACAUGUGAGUAUCCUGCCCUUGACUUUGGGAUAACUUCAGGCAACUGGGGAUAAUACCUGAUAGGAGCUCCUGCUGCAUGGUGGGGUUUGGAACGUUUCGGCGGUUGGGGAUGGACUCGCGGCUUAUCAGCUUGUGGGUGGGGUAGUGGCUUACCAAGGCUUCGACGGGUAGCCGGCCUGAGAGGGUGACCGGCGACAUGGGGACUGAGAUACGGCCCAGACGCCUACGGGAGGCAGCAGUGGGGAAUAUUGCACAAUGGGCGGAAGCCUGAGGCAGCAGCGCCGCGUGCGGGAUGACGGCCUUCGGGUUGUAAACCGCUUUCGCCUGUGACGAAGCGGGAGUGACGGUAAUGGGUAAAGAAGCACCGGCUAACUACGUG